GAACGAGCUUCCGUUGAAUGACGUGCUUGCMYKKAUUUYAACAAUGAAGCGAGUGGCGAACUGGUGAGUAACACGUGGGAAAUCUGCCCAGAAGCAGGGGAUAACACUUGGAAACAGGUGCUAAUACCGUAUAACAACAAAAUCCGCAUGGAUUUUGUUUGAAAGGUGGCUUCGGCUAUCACUUCUGGAUGAUCCCGCGGCGUAUUAGUUAGUUGGUGAGGUAAAGGCCCACCAAGACGAUGAUACGUAGCCGACCUGAGAGGGUAAUCGGCCACAUUGGGACUGAGACACGGCCCAAACUCCUACGGGAGGCAGCAGUAGGGAAUCUUCCACAAUGGACGAAAGUCUGAUGGAGCAAUGCCGCGUGAGUGAAGAAGGGUUUCGGCUCGUAAAACUCUGUUGUUAAAGAAGAACAYCUUUGAGAGUAACUGUUCAAGGGUUGACGGUAUUUAACCAGAAAGCCACGGCUAACUACGUGCCAGCMGCCGCGGUAAUWCGGUCAUAGCUGUUUC
RNAcentral lists this ribosomal RNA (512 nucleotides) under Levilactobacillus brevis. Its description in RNAcentral is "bacterial SSU rRNA". It matches the Rfam family "Bacterial small subunit ribosomal RNA", at positions 64 to 535 of the family's 1533-position model. Lineage: Bacteria; Bacillati; Bacillota; Bacilli; Lactobacillales; Lactobacillaceae. The record is from RNAcentral.